AGUAUGCUGACAGGGCGGGGAUAUCGUGGCCGCGGCCCCGCCCUCCGUCCUGUCAUUGGGCGCUCAGGAUGCGAAUUCGAAUCAGGGCAGUUUGUGGUUCGCGCUUGUAGGUCGCUGGGACUGGGGGGCAGGAGCUCUCAGGGACACCGUCCGACCGGAACUUCUAAAUCGCCUUCCGCGGCAUUACCCAGCGCCGGCGGGUGCAGUGCGAGAAACUCCUGCAGCAGUUACCCGUCUGGAAAAAGCUACAUUAUUCACAGCAAAAAUCUGCUGCUGGCUCUGGGCCUCCAGUCACUCUCUGCCUGCCAUCUCCCACAGAUGAGUCUCUCCUGCUCCGCUCCACCCUUCUCUGCUGGGCCCUUCCACAGAGGCGCCUCUGUUGCUCCUGGACCAUCACAUCCUUCCUGCACCGGCAGCUUCACCCCUACCAGACCCAUCUUCUGAUUCCGAGUAGUCUUGCGAACCGGACCCCACCUUUUCACCUGCAUGGUCCUACAGCCUGGACCCUUGGCUCCCAUCGUACCCUCCGGUGUAUGCUCUACCGGCUGACCCGUGGUUCCACUACCUGCAGGUGCCGCUGAUGCCUGGCGACCCCUAUGCCUGGCCCUACUGGGCUGCCUGGAACCCCUACCAUGAGCGCAGGAUGCCAUCUCGCUUGCAGCACUGCCUGUCCCCAACAUACAUAGCCCCUCCCCUCUGUCUUUGAGGAACCUCUGGCCAUCCCCGCUCCGGUGGCACCAACAGCAUCUUUGCCACCUCUGGUCCAUAUGGCUGCCUUCUCAUCUCCAGGCAAUGCCAUCAUUCUUCCCACCACCCUCCCUCGCCGACCGCUUGCAGUACCAGGACUUACUUCGACGCAUGGCCACAGCCCUCAAUCUACCUGUCGAAGACGUCCAAGACCCACAGGAUUAAUUCCUGGACAUCCUACAACCCCUUGUUGACUCAUGUACCACCCUUCGUAUCCACAAUGCCCUUCUACAACUGGCCCAGGCCAUUUGGCACACUCCGGCCUCCAGUGCCCCUACACCAAAGUGGAAUGCUGAUUCUUCAUGCCCCCUAAGGGCAUGGACUUUCUUUUCGCACACCCAUCCCCCAACUCACUGGUGGUCCAAGCCACGACCAAGCGUGCCUGCCAACAACACCUGCAGUCCACGUCCCCUGAUUGGGUCGCCAAGAAGUUGGAUCUCCUGGGCUUCAAGGUCUACUCCUCCUCUGGUCUCCAAUUCUGCAUUGCCAGCUACCAGGCCAUCCUGGCCAAGCAUGAUUUCCUUUCAUACUCCAAGCUCAUGGACUUCCAGGCCUUCCUCCUCCCAUAGAAACAAUAGGACUUCCAACAUCUCCUAGAUGAGGAAAAGUUGGUGGUCAAGGUGACUCUCCAGGCCAUAGUUGAUGCUGCCGAUAUGGCGUCCCACUCGCUGGCAUCCAGAGUUGUCCUUCGCCAGGAUUCCUGGCUCCAGUCUAGCGGCUUCUUGCAUGAGGUCCUGACUACCCCGAGGACCUCCCUUUUGACCACCACAAGUUGUUUAAUGACAAAACAGAUGACUCUUUGCAUACCCUCAAAGACUCUCGUGCCACACUUCGGUCACUGGUCCUUUAUACUCUGUCCCCUGCCUUUGCCAGCAACGGUCAUCCUUCUGACCCUGCCCUUGGGCCACAUACCAGCCUUACCACUAGCCUUACCCCCAGUGCCCACCAGAUUCUUCUCUGCGUUGCUCCCAACGACCCCGUUACUCCGCCAGUGCUACUCCUGCUUCUACCAUUCCUCAGCGUUCCUCCAAGCAGCCUGAGAACCGCAAACCUUCUUCCCUCCACUCUCACCACCCCACCAGUGUUUUUCAGGGGUUGCCUUGCCCCCUUCACUUACAACUGGGGCAAGAUUACCACCGAUCGCUGGGUGCUGGACAUUGUACAUCGGGGUUACCUCAUUGAAUUCCCCUCCUUCUGACCUAAUUGCCCAUCCUGGGAGUACCCUGCCACGUUAUCGCAUUCUCACCUUCUGAGAGGAAGCAGAUGCCCUCCUCCAGAAGGGCGCUAUAGAACUCAUUCCACAGCGCUACCAGGGCUGUGGCUUCUACUCCUCCUAUUUCCUUGUGCUGAAGAAAGGGGGUGGCCUUCGCUCUAUCUUGGACCUCCGGCUGCUGAACAAAUUUAUUUGCAAGUUCCAUUUCCGUAUGGUCACCCUCCUCCUCAUUAUCCCCUCUCUUCCCCGUGGAGCUUGGUUCGCGGCUCUCGAAAUGAAGGAUAAAUAUUUCCACAUCCACCCUGCUCAUUGCAAGUUCUGCUUCGCGGUCGACCACUUUCACUACCAGUUCUGGGUCCUCCCCUUCGGGAUUGCUACUGCCCCCCCAUGCCUUCACAAAGGUCUUUCCUGUCAUGGCAGCUUACAUGCACUGCCUGGGUAACUCAGUGUUUCCAAACUUGGACGAUUGGCUCAUGGUGUCAUCCUGGUCCUGCCUCCUUACCAUUACUCAGAUCUUGCAUGCCCUCCUCGGCACCCUAGGGAUUUGUAUCAACAAGAAAAAGACAGUCCUCACCCCUACCCACUCCCUACCUUUAUAGGGGCUCACCCGGACUCUGUCGCAGCCCAUGCCUUCCUUCUCUUGGAACGCUUUGCCACUCUUACUGCCCUCAUCGUGCAGCUCUGCCGCCGCCCGUGCGCACACAUCUAUCAGUGCCUUUCCCAUCUGGGCCAUAUGGCGGCCUGCACCUCCGUUACCUCGUAUGCCCGUCUCUAUCUACGCUGCCUCUAGAUGUGGCUCCACUCCAUCUACAACUUGCUGUCCGACCACCUCAGCAAACGGUUCCUCAUUCCCUCAUCAGUUCUCACCUCUCUCACUUGGUGAUGCAGCCUAUCCACGGUCUUAGCCAGUGUCCCUUUCACACCUCCCACGCCCCACCUUCCCCUCAUGACGGAUGCCUUGCUAGUCGGAUGGGGCACUCAUCUGGCUGACUGCAUGGCUCUGGUCGCUCAGGGAGGUGAGGAUGCAUAUCAAUGUCCUGGAGCUGCGGGCCGCCCACCUGGUACUUCAUGGGACCUUAAGCUCAUCCUCUCCGCCCUCACCAAUACGCCUUUUGAGCCACUCGCAACCUGCUCCCUUGCCCAUCUUUCCAUGAAGGUGAUCUUUUUGGUGACCGUCACCUCUGUGAGACAAGUUAACAAACUGGCAGCCACGACGGUCGACCCUCUUCACAGUCUUUCAUAAGGACAAGGUCUCCCUCCGUCUCCAUCCCAGAUUCCUCACCAAGGUUGCCUCCCCGUUUCACCUCAACCAGUGCAUGCAUUUCCCUACCUUCUACCCUAAGCCGCAUGCUUCCCCUCAGGAAGGUGCUUUUCAAACCCUAGAUGUCCACCAGGCGUUGGCCUUUUACCUCCAGCGCACUUGUGACUUCCGGGCCUCCCCUCAGCUCUUUUUUGCCAUUGCGGAGUGUUGCCGCAGCCACACCCUUUCAUCGCAACGACUCUCCAAAUAGAUUUCUCUUUGCAUCACGGGCUGCUACACAUUCUCCCGUACACACACACACAUCCCCCAGGAGUCAUGGCUCACUCCGCACGGGCACAUGCUGCUACAUCCUCACCAGCUUCGCUUUCUGUUCCAAAGCCUCAUCCUUGUCAGAGUCCUCACUGUGUUCUGCCACACGUCCGAGGAGAUCGUCUCUGAUAACCAAGCUGUGACAGAGUAGGGAGUAUUAACCUGAUAAUGUUGCAUGGGAGUUUUACUAGUUUACUGUCUGCAUUGAUACCAGAUGGUGAUGGGAAAUAAGGGUGUGACUUCACUAAGGGAUGAUACUUGACGAUUAGCACGUAAAGGAUGUCUGCUGCCUUUCAUAACCUGAGCCCAGGAGGGGGUUGGGGCCAGGUGACACCUUCUGCCUGGGAAACUGGACAAAGCCUGGAGGAGAAGCCGGGGUGUGUGGCUGGGGGAGACUGCUGGAGGGAGUUUCAGUUUGGAGCUGGCUGGGGAGACAUGGGGAGGCCCAGAACCUGGGUCUUGGCUCCCCAACCCCCAAGAUGGACCUGAGUGAGAGGUCCUGUUUUUAGUACCUACAAGCUCUGUUUUAAACUGUGUUCCUGUCAUCUAAUAAAUCUGUUUUACUGGCUGGCUGAGAGUCA
This 4111-nucleotide long non-coding RNA is filed under the name Chrysemys picta bellii (western painted turtle). RNAcentral describes it as "lncRNA (ENSCPBG00000002754.1)". The record is from RNAcentral. Lineage: Eukaryota; Metazoa; Chordata; Testudines; Emydidae.